Molecule: ribosomal RNA, 306 nt
Filed under: uncultured bacterium
Lineage: Bacteria
Description: partial 16S ribosomal RNA
Rfam family: Bacterial small subunit ribosomal RNA
Source: RNAcentral
GACAGCAGUCGCCACGGUAAUACGAAGGGUGCAAGCGUUAAUCGGAAUUACUGGGCGUAAAGCGCGCGUAGGUGGUUUGGUAAGAUGGAUGUGAAAUCCCCGGGCUCAACCUGGGAACUGCAUCCAUAACUGCCUGACUAGAGUACGGUAGAGGGUGGUGGAAUUUCCUGUGUAGCGGUGAAAUGCGUAGAUAUAGGAAGGAACACCAGUGGCGAAGGCGACCACCUGGACUGAUACUGACACUGAGGUGCGAAAGCGUGGGGAGCAAACAGGAUUAGAUACCCCUGUAGUCCCUGUCUCUUAUAC